CCUACGGGAGGCUGCAGUGAGGAAUAUUGGUCAAUGGACGAGAGUCUGAACCAGCCAAGUAGCGUGAAGGAUGACUGCCCUAUGGGUUGUAAACUUCUUUUAUAUGGGAAUAAAACAGGGUAUGCAUACCCUCUUGUAUGUACCAUAUGAAUAAGGAUCGGCUAACUCCGUGCCAGCAGCCGCGGUAAUACGGAGGAUCCGAGCGUUAUCCGGAUUUAUUGGGGUUAAAGGGAGCGUAGGUGGAUUGUUAAGUCAGUUGUGAAAGUUUGCGGCUCAACCGUAAAAUUGCAGUUGAAACUGGCAGUCGUGAGUACAGUAGAGGUGGGCGGAAUUCGUGGUGUAGCGGUGAAAUGCUUAGAUAUCACGAAGAACUCCGAUUGCGAAGGCAGCUCACUGGACUGCAACUGACACUGAUGCUCGAAAGUGUGGGUAUCAAACAGGAUUAGAUACCCGGGUAGUC
This 460-nucleotide ribosomal RNA is filed under the name uncultured bacterium. Its description in RNAcentral is "partial 16S ribosomal RNA". It matches the Rfam family "Bacterial small subunit ribosomal RNA", at positions 338 to 795 of the family's 1533-position model. The record is from RNAcentral.